This 1130-nucleotide ribosomal RNA is filed under the name Wolbachia pipientis. Its description in RNAcentral is "bacterial SSU rRNA". It matches the Rfam family "Bacterial small subunit ribosomal RNA", at positions 281 to 1428 of the family's 1533-position model. The record is from RNAcentral. Lineage: Bacteria; Pseudomonadati; Pseudomonadota; Alphaproteobacteria; Rickettsiales; Anaplasmataceae.
CUAUAGCUGAUCUGAGAGGAUGAUCAGCCACACUGGAACUGAGAUACGGUCCAGACUUCUACGGGAGGCAGCAGUGGGGAAUAUUGGACAAUGGGCGAAAGCCUGAUCCAGCCAUGUCGCAUGAGUGAAGAAGGCCCUUGGGUUGUAAAGCUCUUUUAGUGAGGAAGAUAAUGACGGUACUCACAGAAGAAGUCCUGGCUAACUCCGUGCCAGCAGCCGCGGUAAUACGGAGAGGGCUAGCGUUAUUCGGAAUUAUUGGGCGUAAAGGGCGCGUAGGCUGAUUAAUAAGUUAAAAGUGAAAUCCCGAGGCUUAACCUUGGAAUUGCUUUUAAAACUAUUAAUCUAGAGAUUGAAAGAGGAUAGAGGAAUUCCUGAUGUAGAGGUAAAAUUCGUAAAUAUUAGGAGGAACACCAGUGGCGAAGGCGUCUAUCUGGUUCAAAUCUGACGCUGAGGCGCGAAGGCGUGGGGAGCAAACAGGAUUAGAUACCCUGGUAGUCCACGCUGUAAACGAUGAAUGUUAAAUAUGGGAAGUUUACUUUCUGUAUUACAGCUAACGCGUUAAACAUUCCGCCUGGGGACUACGGUCGCAAGAUUAAAACUCAAAGGAAUUGACGGGGACCCGCACAAGCGGUGGAGCAUGUGGUUUAAUUCGAUGCAACGCGAAAAACCUUACCACUUCUUGACAUGGAAAUCAUACCUAUUCGAAGGGAUAGGGUCGGUUCGGCCGGAUUUUACACAGGUGUUGCAUGGCUGUCGUCAGCUCGUGUCGUGAGAUGUUGGGUUAAGUCCCGCAACGAGCGCAACCCUCAUCCUUAGUUGCCAUCAGGUAAUGCUGAGCACUUUAAGGAAACUGCCAGUGAUAAGCUGGAGGAAGAUGGGGAUGAUGUCAAGUCAUCAUGGCCUUUAUGAAGUGGGCUACACACGUGCUACAAUGGUGUCUACAGUGGGCUGCAAGGUGCGCAAGCCUAAGCUAAUCCCUAAAAGACAUCUCAGUUCGGAUUGUACUCUGCAACUCGAGUGCAUGAAGUUGGAAUCGCUAGUAAUCGUGGAUCAGCAUGCCACGGUGAAUACGUUCUCGGGUCUUGUACACACUGCCCGUCACGCCAUGGGAAUUGGUUUCACUCGAAGCU